Molecule: ribosomal RNA, 464 nt
Filed under: uncultured bacterium
Lineage: Bacteria
Description: partial 16S ribosomal RNA
Rfam family: Bacterial small subunit ribosomal RNA
Source: RNAcentral
ACGAACGCUGGCGGCGUGCUUAACACCUGCAAGUCGUACGGUAAGGCCCUUUCGGGGGUACACGAGUGGCGAACGGGUGAGUAACACGUGAGUAACCUGCCCACAACUUUGGGAUAACGCUAGGAAACUGGUGCUAAUACUGGAUAUGUGCUCCUGCUGCAUGGUGGGGGUUGGAAAGCUCCGGCGGUUGUGGAUGGACUCGCGGCCUAUCAGCUUGUUGGUGGGGUAGUGGCCUACCAAGGCGGCGGCGGGUAGCCGGCCUGGGAGGGUGACCGGCCACAUUGGGACUGAGAUACGGCCCAGACUCCUACGGGGGGCAGCAGUGGGGAAUAUUGCACAAUGGGCGCGAGCCUGAUGCAGCAACGCCGCGGGCGGGAUGACGGCCUUCGGGUUGUAAACCGCUUUCAGCAGGGACGAAGCUUUUUGUGACGGUACCUGCAGAAGAAGCACCGGCUAACUACGUG